This 823-nucleotide ribosomal RNA is filed under the name Pichia kudriavzevii. RNAcentral's name for it is "partial large subunit ribosomal RNA". It matches the Rfam family "Eukaryotic large subunit ribosomal RNA", at positions 61 to 898 of the family's 3401-position model. The record is from RNAcentral. Lineage: Eukaryota; Fungi; Ascomycota; Pichiomycetes; Pichiales; Pichiaceae.
GAAACCAACAGGGAUUGCCUCAGUAGCGGCGAGUGAAGCGGCAAGAGCUCAGAUUUGAAAUCGUGCUUGCGGCACGAGUUGUAGAUUGCAGGUUGGAGUCUGUGUGGAAGGCGGUGUCCAAGUCCCUUGGAACAGGGCGCCCAGGAGGGUGAGAGCCCCGUGGGAUGCCGGCGGAAGCAGUGAGGCCCUUCUGACGAGUCGAGUUGUUUGGGAAUGCAGCUCCAAGCGGGUGGUAAAUUCCAUCUAAGGCUAAAUACUGGCGAGAGACCGAUAGCGAACAAGUACUGUGAAGGAAAGAUGAAAAGCACUUUGAAAAGAGAGUGAAACAGCACGUGAAAUUGUUGAAAGGGAAGGGUAUUGCGCCCGACAUGGGGAUUGCGCACCGCUGCCUCUCGUGGGCGGCGCUCUGGGCUUUCCCUGGGCCAGCAUCGGUUCUUGCUGCAGGAGAAGGGGUUCUGGAACGUGGCUCUUCGGAGUGUUAUAGCCAGGGCCAGAUGCUGCGUGCGGGGACCGAGGACUGCGGCCGUGUAGGUCACGGAUGCUGGCAGAACGGCGCAACACCGCCCGUCUUGAAACAUGGACCAAGGAGUCUAACGUCUAUGCGAGUGUUUGGGUGUGAAACCCGUACGCGUAAUGAAAGUGAACGUAGGUCGGACCCCCUGCCCUCGGGGAGGGGAGCACGAUCGACCGAUCCCGAUGUUUAUCGGAAGGAUUUGAGUAGGAGCAUAGCUGUUGGGACCCGAAAGAUGGUGAACUAUGCCUGAAUAGGGUGAAGCCAGAGGAAACUCUGGUGGAGGCUCGUAGCGGUUUCUGACGUGCAAAU